Molecule: ribosomal RNA, 400 nt
Filed under: Anopheles funestus (African malaria mosquito)
Lineage: Eukaryota; Metazoa; Arthropoda; Insecta; Diptera; Culicidae
Description: eukaryotic LSU rRNA
Source: RNAcentral
UCUGAAUAGAGAGUCAAAUAGUACGUGAAACUGCCUAGGGGACGCAAACCUGUAGAACCCAAUGUUCCGUGCGGUGCGAUAUUCAGCGGUACGUUGGCCCACGCCGGGUCGGCUGCCGUGCACUUAUCAAGACCGCAGCAACGGACAUCGCGAUCCAUUACAAUACUCCUACUGGCAAUGGCCCCUAGCUCGUGGUUGGCGGCUCCUCAGUACGGGACGCUCGGCGGCUUCCCGGACCAGGUGUCUCCGCGCCUUUCACACCAGAGAGGCGCAGGGCCCGACCGAGCUUGGUGUGUCGCUGGAAGCGUGAUGGAUUGAUACGAGCGGGGAUGAGAGCGCACGGCCUACUAGCCCGAAGGCCCAUCAGCACUUGACCCUCCGAUCGGCGAUGUAGCACAAU